CGGCAGCACGGGGGCAACCCUGGUGGCGAGUGGCGAACGGGUGAGUAAUGUAUCGGAACGUACCCAGUCGUGGGGGAUAACUAUCCGAAAGGAUAGCUAAUACCGCAUACGUCCUGAGGGAGAAAGCGGGGGACCUGCAAGGGCCUCGCGCGAUUGGAGCGGCCGAUAUCGGAUUAGCUAGUUGGUGAGGUAAAGGCUCACCAAGGCGACGAUCCGUAGCGGGUCUGAGAGGACGACCCGCCACACUGGAACUGAGACACGGUCCAGACUCCUACGGGAGGCAGCAGUGGGGAAUUUUGGACAAUGGGGGAAACCCUGAUCCAGCCAUUCCGCGUGAGUGAAGAAGGCCUUCGGGUUGUAAAGCUCUUUCAGCAGGAACGAAACGGCCGGCUUUAAUAAAGUCGGCUAAUGACGGUACCUGCAGAAGAAGCACCGGCUAACUACGUGCCAGCAGC
This 455-nucleotide ribosomal RNA is filed under the name uncultured bacterium. RNAcentral describes it as "bacterial SSU rRNA". It matches the Rfam family "Bacterial small subunit ribosomal RNA", at positions 67 to 515 of the family's 1533-position model. The record is from RNAcentral.